RNAcentral lists this ribosomal RNA (505 nucleotides) under uncultured bacterium. RNAcentral describes it as "partial 16S ribosomal RNA". It matches the Rfam family "Bacterial small subunit ribosomal RNA", at positions 28 to 507 of the family's 1533-position model. The record is from RNAcentral.
GACGAACGCUGGCGGCGUGCCUAAUACAUGCAAGUAGAACGCACAGUUUAUACCGUAGCUUGCUACACCAUAGACUGUGAGUUGCGAACGGGUGAGUAACGCGUAGGUAACCUGCCUGGUAGCGGGGGAUAACUAUUGGAAUCGAUAGCUAAUACCGCAUAAUAUUAAUUAUUGCAUGAUAAUUAAUUGAAAGGUGCAAUUGCACCACUACCAGAUGGACCUGCGUUGUAUUAGCUAGUAGGUGAGGUAACGGCUCACCUAGGCGACGAUACAUAGCCGACCUGAGAGGGUGAUCGGCCACACUGGGACUGAGACACGGCCCAGACUCCUACGGGAGGCAGCAGUAGGGAAUCUUCGGCAAUGGACGAAAGUCUGACCGAGCAACGCCGCGUGAGUGAAGAAGGUUUUCGGAUCGUAAAGCUCUGUUGUAAGAGAAGAACGGGUGUGAGAGUGGAAAGUUCACACUGUGACGGUAUCUUACCAGAAAGGGACGGCUAACUACGUG